Chiloscyllium plagiosum (whitespotted bambooshark) is the source of this 2528-nucleotide long non-coding RNA. RefSeq lists it as uncharacterized. The record is from RefSeq and is a predicted model, not a curated record. Lineage: Eukaryota; Metazoa; Chordata; Chondrichthyes; Orectolobiformes; Hemiscylliidae.
UCGGGCAAUAACUGAUAACCAGGGUGUGACCGCCUGGUUUUUCCCUCUGUUUAAAGGUUACUGUGACUCAGGAUAGUCUGGACUUUCCCAAUCUCUCACGGAGAGCCGGGAUUAGGAAUCCGGGUGCAGCCCCUGUCGGGAAAAGCCUCCCGGGAGAGGGAGAAGAGAUACAUCCAAUGGGGAGUACUGCUCGCACUGCUCAAUGCUAUUUCUGCUGUUUCAGUGGGAAUGAGAUGGGAACUGAUACAGAAAUACGGACUGGUAGCUGCAGGAGGCGCUGUUCUGCUCAUCACCUCACCACUUCUGAUUUACUUCAUUGUCAAGGCCAGAAAGAGAAGAGACAAGCCACAAGGAAAUGGAAUCAAACAAACACAGAAGGCAAACUCAACGACAAAGUCUGAGCUGAUGUCAGUGAGGCCAAAGCAAACGGAGAAAUGAAUCGAAGCAUUUGUCACGCGAGCCAAAGUGAACCAGAACAAGACCCAAGGUUUGCAAACAGAACAAACCUGAUGCCCGAAAUGUCGAUUCUCCUGUUCCCUGGAUGCUGCCUGACCUGCUGCGCUUUUCCAGCAACACAUUUUCAGCAAAGAUCAACUGGAACAAGGCAACUGGUCAGAUCUGAUUUCUGACCUCAAGGAGACAGACCAGGAUGAGUAUGAAGUGAGUAUCAGGGAGUCCAUUUUAUUUAAUUACUCCUUUAUAACAAAUUGGGGUAAGAGGUAGGUUACUCUCCUCAUCAUACUACUUUUAUCAAAUUACCAGGUGAGGUGAACUACUGUGGGUGUUUCGGGUUUAAUCAGUAGAGGAGUGUUGACCUCCAUUUCAUAACACACUGGUCACAUAGACCCACCAGAAAUGGCAGUACAAUGGUAUGCAAUCAUGUGGGAACAACCUUGGGACUCCUCAACAUUGACUCUGAGCCCGUGAAAUCUGUCAGACUCAGGUCAGACAUGGGCUUGGAAACCUUCUACUGAUUCUCACCUACUGCUCUCCCUCAGCUGAUCAAUGGAUACCCCACAAUGUUCACCCCCACUUGGAGGAAGCACUGAGGGUCACACAGACACAGUGUUAACUGAGUGGGUCUUCCCUGUCCAUCCCCAAAGGUCACUCAGUAAUAAACCACACUGAGCGAGCUGGCUGAGCCCUGAAGGCUGGAGCUACCAAACUGGGUAAUGGAAGGGGUUAACGGUGUGAGAACCUGCACUUCCUCCCCAGAAACAUGGUCCUUCUGUCUCCAGAGGUUGGGCUGCAGGAGGUGGGACCCACAGCCCCUCCCAAGCAGCCUUUCCAAAACCCAGGGUACCUAGGUACAGGUACUUUAAAUGUUGUUACAGAAUUCAAAUAGUAAUAAAUACAAAUAGACAAGCAUGGGAAUACAGAGUUUAAAAUACCAGAAUGAGAAUAAAAAGUAUCUAUAAAGUACUCAAGUCAUUCUUCUUUUUUCACUGGGUCCAUGCCCACCAGGUUUCAGAAUAUGAGUCCAAACUGCCUCCACGCACUGGUUUCUGUCCCGGACUCAUCCCCCCCCAGCUGGCCUGGGCUUUGUCUACUCCUGCUCCUGCUUCCCGCUUCAGGCUCCAGUGCAGCUCUGCUCCCCACUCCAGGCUCUGUCUGUGCCUCUACUCCUGUUCCGGGCUCUGUCUGUGUCUCUACUCCCCGCUCUGGGCUCUAUCCGCACUCCCACUCCAGCUGUGACUCGUCUGUCGAGCCAGGCUGGUCUCAGACUCCGUUCUCCAUUCCCUCCAGGUAGGAUGGUUUAACAAGUUAAAAGUUGGGAUGUGGGAUGAAGACAAACUGCAGCAGAGAGAGAGAAGAAACAAAGAGAACUGGCAAGCAGAAAAGCACUGGCUGGAGCAUCUUACUCAGCUGUCAUCUUGCUAAAUGUACACUUUCAACAAACCAAUGACCCUAAACAUUGUUUAAUCCCACCCAAUGAUUGUAAAAGCGAGGUUAAGGCAGGUCACAGAAUGUGCAGCACUAUCGAAAUGCAGAAAUGAGAAGGAAAGUGAAUGAACAGAUACACAGACGGGAGGUUUGUAUUUGGAGUGGAACAUGUUUCCAUGAUCACCUGGAGCAGGUGGGAAUAAACAUCACCUCAGCGGGAGGUCAUAUCCAAUACAACCAGACAUUUUGAAACCUCAUAGGGGCUGCAGGAAUUUGCUGGGUCAAAGUUAAGAUUCACCAAUCUUUAUUCCAGCUGCAAGUGUUUCAGGGGAUCAGGGAAAGGUUAGGUCUUACUAGUAAAACCAGGCUCGGCUUUUCAUGAGGCACAAUCCUCUAUGACACUGUACUCCCACUCUCUCCGCAUAACCCUCAACACCUUCAGCCUCAAGGAAUGUAUCUGGGUUUUCUGAAACAUAUUCAGUGAUUUCCCCUCCACAGCUUUCUGUGGGAGAGAAUCCCACAGGUUCACUGUCCUCUGAGUGAAGACAUUUCUCCUCAGCUCAGUCUGAAAUGGCCUCUCCCGUAUCCUGAGGCUGUGACCCCUUGCUCUGGAGCCCUGGCCAAGGUGAAACAUUGUUCCUGCA